GACCGCCUGGGGAGUACGGCCGCAAGGUUAAAACUCAAAUGAAUUGACGGGGGCCCGCACAAGCGGUGGAGCAUGUGGUUUAAUUCGAUGCAACGCGAAGAACCUUACCUGGUCUUGACAUCCACAGAACUUUCCAGAGAUGGAUUGGUGCCUUCGGGAACUGUGAGACAGGUGCUGCAUGGCUGUCGUCAGCUCGUGUUGUGAAAUGUUGGGUUAAGUCCCGCAACGAGCGCAACCCUUAUCC
This 244-nucleotide ribosomal RNA is filed under the name Escherichia coli. RNAcentral's name for it is "partial 16S ribosomal RNA". It matches the Rfam family "Bacterial small subunit ribosomal RNA", at positions 867 to 1110 of the family's 1533-position model. Lineage: Bacteria; Pseudomonadati; Pseudomonadota; Gammaproteobacteria; Enterobacterales; Enterobacteriaceae. The record is from RNAcentral.